CCUACGGGAGGCAGCAGUAAGGAAUAUUGGACAAUGGACGCAAGUCUGAUCCAGCCAUGCCGCGUGAAGGAUUAAGGCCCUCUGGGUUGUAAACUUCUUUUAUAGGGGACGAAAAAAGGGCUUUCUAGCUCGACUGACGGUACCCUAUGAAUAAGCACCGGCUAACUCCGUGCCAGCAGCCGCGGUAAUACGGAGGGUGCAAGCGUUAUCCGGAUUCACUGGGUUUAAAGGGUGCGUAGGCGGGCAGUUAAGUCAGUGGUGAAAUCUCUGGGCUCAACCCGGGAAACUGCCAUUGAUACUAUCUGUCUUGAAUAUUGUGGAGGUGAGCGGAAUAUGUCAUGUAGCGGUGAAAUGCUUAGAUAUGACAUAGAACACCGAUUGCGUAGGCAGCUCGCUACACAUAUAUUGACGCUGAGGCACGAAAGCGUGGGGAUCAAACAGGAUUAGAUACCCUGGUAGUCCACGCCCUAAACUAUGAUUACUCGACAUAUGCGAUACACUGUAUGUGUNUGAGACGAAGACAUAAGUAAGUACCACCGUACGGUAACGGUACGACCGACCGAACGGUUAGUAAACGUACGAACGUAGUAAGUUAGUACGGACGUUAGGAGACGUUAGCCGACGGACGACACGAGGGGAGGUUAGGG
RNAcentral lists this ribosomal RNA (647 nucleotides) under uncultured bacterium. RNAcentral's name for it is "bacterial SSU rRNA". The stretch from base 1 to 538 matches the Rfam family "Bacterial small subunit ribosomal RNA", at positions 338 to 873 of the family's 1533-position model. The record is from RNAcentral.